AUAAUAACCUCAAGCAUAUGACGUAUACAAACUUGUAACAUCGUUUGAUAUUGUACUUACUUAAACUUUUUUCCUCUAGUUUUGCGACUGUCGAAUGGUAAAAUUUCCUUUUUUCCAUUCCUUCACUUUCGUCGCUGGCGGCAUGAACCCUACAAGGGAGACAAGUGGGCUCGCGUGAGGUUUCCUGUCACCUUUCCAAUCUCACCUCUCGCAGUCUCACUCCUGGGACCAACUGAGGCUGUCUCAGCCCUCCCCUGGGCGGGGCCAAUAGCGAGGAACCGGAUUCCCAACCCCUCCUUCGUCGGCGCCCCCACCUCCAGUGCGUCUCCAAGGAGACGCCCACGACGCGGGGCGAGGAUCAACCCCUCCCACCUCAGCACUCUACCUCCCUUGCGUCUCCGAGGAGACGCCCACGACGGUGGGCCGGGGCGGCGAGUGGGGAAUGGGGUCGUAUUGGCGGGGUAACGCGGGCGACGCUUUACGGCAAUGGUGAGCAGGGUCGCAGUCGAACCUCGCCAGCUAUCGCGCGAAGCUCAGAGAGAACCGGUUUUUUUCCCGCUGGAGCGUGGCCUCAGCCACGUUGCUCCACUCAGUCUCCUUUGUGUCCUUUCCCUGGGGCAACGCGGGGUGACGCGGGGCCGGGACCAGCACCCCUCUGGCCGGAGGGACCCUCCCCAUCCUCUAACGUCUGAGCAGCCUGUACCCUGCGUGCAAGGUCGUGGUAAGAUAAUCAAAGGGCACGAUCAACAGCUCAUAUAUUGCCUUGCUGUGGACUCAGAGCGCAAGGACAGACGAAGACCAGACACUGACUUUACAUUUUUGAUAGGUCGCGCCUUGCUAAAAUAAUAAGAGUGUGAUCAACAGCUCCUACGUUGCCUUGGUGUGGAGCCAGCAUUGAGGCAUAGACAAAGAACAGACACUGAUUUCACACUUCUCGUAGGUACAUAAUACAGCCCUGAGUGGUGCUUUGGUUCUGUUACCCGCUUCUGUACAGUAGGCACCUCUCUCAAGGCAGGUCCCUCACCGAAUUUCUCGGGUUACUGUCUGAUGAGUAGCGUGUUCAGAUAGACUUAGUCGCUACAGCUGUAUCAUCAUAAUGAUCAGAAAAGUUUUCCCUGCUUGAUUCAACUAAAACUGGAGCCCGGCAAGGGCCAUUAUUUUCCUGGAGCUGAUUUCACGCGUCUGAUGGGUGUGGAAGAGAACUCCCCGGUGUACUUUGUGUUUUAUUCCUUUGCCUUUCAGAAAGAUGAUUUUCCAAAGUGUUUUAAUCCAGUUUAUACUGGUUCUGUGGAGGUGCAUCCUUAAUGCUAAGACUGAGCAAAGGCAGGGUUAGUUCAGCGACCUGAGUCCUUCUGAACCUAUCAAAAGUAGCCUUCCUGCAGGAUGGGCCAGGUGGCCAGGGGCAGGAGCUUCAGUGCCUUGUUUCUGAACAUGGCCGCUGCUGAGGCCACGCCCCCAAGGGCCUGACAGCCAGGGGCUCCUUGGUGGGGAAGCCAGGCCCCGGAACACCACCACCUGUUGCUCCCACACCUGCUCUGGUGAGGUGGCAGGCUGCCAGGUUUGCCCAGGAUCUUCGGAGUGCUGGCAACCCUCACUUCCUCCCAUCACAGGCCUUUCCCUGGCAGGAUCCACAGGAAGGGCCUGCAUGCCAUGCUGAAAACGCUUCCCCUUCAUGGAAUUGAUUUCCCAGAAAUGCUAUUGCCCUCUCCUGCUGGGCCACUCCCUCCGCCCUAUGUUGGUGAAAAAAGGCUCUAGUUGUGCCCAAGCGCCUUUUAAGUGCUGUAACGGGGCGUCACUCUAAUGGAUUGUUGAAGAAAGAGGUGUCUCCUCCUUAGGGGGCUUCUCUUUGGCAGUAAGGUCAUACCUUUGUGGAUAUCUAAAGCAUCCUGUCCACCUGUAGUCCAUGUUCAUAGCAAUCUAGGAGAUUCUGAGUCCACAUGGCCUGGACCCUACGUUUUCUGGCGAUCACUAUGUGAUAUGUUCUGUCAGGUUAUUAUUGAUCAAGUUUGAAGCCAGAAUUCCCUUGAUGCUGUAAUAAUUAGGCUUUGGUUGAAGGCCUUUGCCACUUGGAAUAAAUCCAGGUUGUAACCACA
This is a long non-coding RNA of Bos mutus (wild yak), 2093 nucleotides long. The record is from Ensembl. NCBI's taxonomy places the organism in Eukaryota, Metazoa, Chordata, Mammalia, Artiodactyla, Bovidae.